Molecule: ribosomal RNA, 253 nt
Filed under: uncultured bacterium
Lineage: Bacteria
Description: partial 16S ribosomal RNA
Rfam family: Bacterial small subunit ribosomal RNA
Source: RNAcentral
UACGGAGGGUGCAAGCGUUGUCCGGAUUCACUGGGCUUAAAGGGUGUGUAGGUGGCGCCGUAAGUCGGGUGUGAAAUUUCGGAGCUUAACUCCGAAACUGCAUUCGAUACUGCCGUGCUUGAGGACUGGAGAGGAGACUGGAAUUUACGGUGUAGCGGUGAAAUGCGUAGAUAUCAGGAGGAACACCGGUGGCGAAGGCGGGUCUCUGGACAGUUCCUGACGCUGAGGCACGAAGGCCAGGGGAGCAAACGGG